Molecule: ribosomal RNA, 253 nt
Filed under: uncultured bacterium
Lineage: Bacteria
Description: partial 16S ribosomal RNA
Rfam family: Bacterial small subunit ribosomal RNA
Source: RNAcentral
UACAGAGGGGGCAAGCGUUGUUCGGAAUUACUGGGCGUAAAGGGCGCGUAGGCGGCCGCUUAAGUCAGACGUGAAAUCCCUCGGCUCAACCGGGGAACUGCGUCUGAUACUGGGUGGCUUGAAUCCGGGAGAGGGAUGCGGAAUUCCAGGUGUAGCGGUGAAAUGCGUAGAUAUUGGGAAGAACACCGAUGGCGAAGGCAGCCAUCUGGACCGACACUGACGCUGAGGCGCGAAAGCGUGGGGAGCAAACAGG